RNAcentral lists this ribosomal RNA (445 nucleotides) under uncultured bacterium. Its description in RNAcentral is "partial 16S ribosomal RNA". It matches the Rfam family "Bacterial small subunit ribosomal RNA", at positions 354 to 796 of the family's 1533-position model. The record is from RNAcentral.
GUAAGGAAUAUUGGUCAAUGGAGGCAACUCUGAACCAGCCAUGCCGCGUGCAGGAAGACGGCCCUCUGGGUUGUAAACUGCUUUUAUCCGGGAAUAAACCUGCCUUCGUGAAGGUAGCUGAAUGUACCGGAAGAAUAAGGAUCGGCUAACUCCGUGCCAGCAGCCGCGGUAAUACGGAGGAUCCAAGCGUUAUCCGGAUUUAUUGGGUUUUAAGGGUGCGUAGGCGGCCUGUUAAGUCAGGGGUGAAAGACGGUGGCUCAACCAUCGCAGUGCCCUUGAUACUGAUGGGCUUGAAUGGACUAGAGGUAGGCGGAAUGUGACAAGUAGCGGUGAAAUGCAUAGAUAUGUCACAGAACACCGAUUGCGAAGGCAGCUUACUAUGGUCCUAUUGACGCUGAGGCACGAAAGCGUGGGGAUCGAACAGGAUUAGAUACCCCAGUAGUCC